Molecule: long non-coding RNA, 764 nt
Organism: Canis lupus familiaris (dog)
Lineage: Eukaryota; Metazoa; Chordata; Mammalia; Carnivora; Canidae
Exons: 3
Source: RefSeq, a predicted model, not a curated record
UGUCAGACUUCCUGUUUGCUUUGUAAUAAAAUACAACUAAAAUUUGCACGUGUUUAAUUUUUCUCAAGUUCCCUUUCAGCUUCUUGGACUUGACAUUCCUUGGAGACACACCAUGUGUUCUUCUUGUGAAAUCUGAGCUUUACUCUCAGUGUCUAGGGCCGAGGUGUCCUGGUAAGAAUCAGCAUCUAGACCAGGAGUGAUGUGUAACUCUGAAACACAAAUCUUCCUGGUGACUCACCAGUCCAGGACCAAGGAGAAGAUGCCCCACUGAACUCAGACUUGUUAUCCUCUGUUGAAAGUUUUCUUCUUAUGGAUCUCUGAGUAAGGAGACUAAAGAUUCAGAAUUAAAUGGUCAUGGUCUUGUCCUCAAAGGGAACAUUCCAAAAGAUGAUUCUGACAUCUUCUAACAAUAUAUGAAGACACUUCUAACCACAUGAAAAGCACAGGAGAUAAUUGCAUUUGAUAACUCAGCUUUAUAGUAAAAAUUAAAAAUGUCAAUUUGUGGUAGAGGAUUGGCCUGUAUUCUGAUCUGGUGAGGAAGGGUUUAAGCUGGUUUGGACAUCUCUAGGAGGUUCUGUGGUGGUGCAGGAAGCAAUAUUUGGGCCUUGGCUUCAGACAGAUGUUGAAUUUGAACCCUAGUUGUGAAAUUUUCUGAACUGCAGUUUUUUCAUUGUCCUUGAGAUUUUUCAUGAGGUUUAAAAAUAUGGCAAAUAAGUGCAUCAAGGUGGCUCAGUUGGUUAAGUGUGUAACUCUUGAUUUCAGCU